Molecule: ribosomal RNA, 478 nt
Filed under: uncultured bacterium
Lineage: Bacteria
Description: partial 16S ribosomal RNA
Rfam family: Bacterial small subunit ribosomal RNA
Source: RNAcentral
GACGAACGCUGGCGGCGUGCUUAACACAUGCAAGUCGAACGGUAAGGCCCUUCGGGGUACACGAGUGGCGAACGGGUGAGUAACACGUGGGUGAUCUGCCCUGCACUUCGGGAUAAGCCUGGGAAACUGGGUCUAAUACCGGAUAGGACUACUGCCUGCAUGGGUGGUGGUGGAAAGCUUUUGCGGUGUGGGAUGGGCCCGCGGCCUAUGAGCUUGUUGGUGGGGUGAUGGCCUACCAAGGCGACGACGGGUAGCCGGCCUGAGAGGGUGACCAGCCACACUGGGACUGAGAUACGGCCCAGACUCCUACGGGAGGCAGCAGUGGGGAAUAUUGCACAAUGGGCGCAAGCCUGAUGCAGCGACGCCGCGUGAGGGAUGACGGCCUUCGGGUUGUAAACCUCUUUCAGCACCGACGAAGCGCAAGUGACGGUAGGUGCAGAAGAAGGACCGGCCAACUACGUGCCAGCCGCCGCAGUAA